CGCGGCAUCGGCGGUAACGGUAACGCCCCUAUCUGUCAUCAGCCAUCACCCCGCCUGGUAACACAGCGCUGCCCUCCUGCCCUGUGCUUGGGUUCUACGUAUGGAAACUCGCGCUUAUCAGACAGCAAGAGGGCGAGCACAACGGCAAGGUGCUGGUGCAGGGAGUAGACACCAGCAACAUUCCCCAUCCCCUUCCCGAUCACCCUCCCCCUCUCCGGCCCAAUCCCCCUCUCCUGCCACCUCACCCUCUCCUGCCCAAUCCCCCUCUCCGCAAACCUCACCCUCUCCAGCCACCUCACCCUCUCCUGCCCCCUCACCCUCUCCUGCCCAAUCCCCCUCUCCGCAAACCUCACCCUCUCCAGCCACCUCACCCUCUCAUGCCCCCUCACCCUCUCCUGCCCAAUCCCCCUCUCCGCAAACCUCACCCUCUCCAGCCACCUCACCCUCUCAUGCCCCCUCACCCUCUCCUGCCCAAUCCCCCUCUCCGCAAACCUCACCCUCUCCAGCCACCUCACCCUCUCAUGCCCCCUCACCCUCUCCUGCCCAAUCCCCCUCUCCGCCAACCUCACCCUCUCCAGCAACCUCUGCAUCAUUUUGCAAAACCUCCUCUCCAGCCCAAGCCCACUCUCUUUCCCAAACCCCCUUUCCAGCCCACACCCCCUCUCCAGACCAAUCCCACUCUCUUACCAAAUUCCCCUCUCUGCCCCCCUCCCCCUCUGUGUCCCAAAAAAACACACCACCACCCUCACCCUAUCAUUCCCAAACACCCUCUGACAGUACCUCCCCCUUCCAUCCUCUCACCCAAUUGGACCCUCCUUCCCCCAUCCUGCCUUCUUCCCCCAUCCAGCACCCAUCCCCAAUCCUCACCCAUCCAGCCUCCAUUCCCCAGCCAGCACCCAUCCCCCAUCCAGCCUCCAUCCCCCAGCCAGCAAACCUCGCUGACAGAAUGGGCAGCAGAGGCCCCGGAGCCACUAGAGGGAGGUGUCCAAGUGGCAGAGGAGAAUGGUGCCAUUGGAGAUCCCACAAGGCUGGCAGGCAUCGUUGGCCAUUUGAGAUUUCAAUUGGAGGCCAUGUUGGCUGAAGUGAAUCAGUUAGCCAAUUUAAUUUAAGUUUUAUUUAAA
RNA transcript from Pseudophryne corroboree (corroboree frog), 1121 nucleotides. RefSeq lists it as uncharacterized. The record is from RefSeq and is a predicted model, not a curated record. NCBI's taxonomy places the organism in Eukaryota, Metazoa, Chordata, Amphibia, Anura, Myobatrachidae. The transcript has 3 exons.